RNAcentral lists this transfer RNA (87 nucleotides) under Candidatus Moraniibacteriota bacterium. Its description in RNAcentral is "tRNA-Ser". It matches the Rfam family "tRNA". From Rfam's summary of the family: Transfer RNA (tRNA) molecules are approximately 80 nucleotides in length. Their secondary structure includes four short double-helical elements and three loops (D, anti-codon, and T loops). Further hydrogen bonds mediate the characteristic L-shaped molecular structure. tRNAs have two regions of fundamental functional importance: the anti-codon, which is responsible for specific mRNA codon recognition, and the 3' end, to which the tRNAs corresponding amino acid is attached (by aminoacyl-tRNA synthetases). tRNAs cope with the degeneracy of the genetic code in two manners: having more than one tRNA (with a specific anti-codon) for a particular amino acid; and 'wobble' base-pairing, i.e. permitting non-standard base-pairing at the 3rd anti-codon position. Lineage: Bacteria; Candidatus Moraniibacteriota. The record is from RNAcentral.
GGAAGCGUGGCUGAGUGGACGAAAGCAGCAGUUUCGAAAACUGCCGUGUCAGAAAUGGCACCGGAGGUUCGAAUCCUCCCGCUUCCG